UUCCGGUUGAUCCUGCCGGAGGCGACCGCUUUUGGAGUUCGAUUAAGCCAUGCGAGUAGAAAGAAAUUAGAUUCUUUGCGAACUGCUCAGUAACACGUGGAUAACCUGCCCUAUGCUCCGGAAUAACCUCGGGAAACUGAGAAUAAUACCGGAUAGAUCACAACGCCUGGAACGGUGUGUGGUUGAAAGAUUACGGCAUAGGAUGGGUCUGCGGCGUAUCAGGUUGUAGGGGGUGUAAAGGACCUCCUAGCCAUCGACGCGUACGGGUGUUGGGAGACAUAGCCCGGAGAUGGAUUCUGAGACACGAAUCCAGACCCUACGGGGUGCAGCAGGCGCGAAAACUUCACACUGCAGGAAACUGUGAUGAGGGAACUCCAAGUGCACGCACUUAGUGUGUGCUUUUUUCAACUAUUAAUCGGUUGAAGAAUAAGGGCUGGGAAAGACCGGUGCCAGCCGCCGCGGUAAUACCGGCAGCUCAAGUGGUCGUCGCUUUUAUUGGGCCUAAAACGUCCGUAGCCUGUUUGGUAAAUCUGUGGGUAAAUCAACCAGCUUAACUGGUUGAAUUCUGCAGAGACUGCCAGACUAGGGACCGGGAGAGGUGUGGGGUACUCUAGGGGUAGGGGUAAAAUCCUGUCAUCCUUAGAGGACCACCAGUUGCGAAGGCGCCACACUGGAACGGAUCCGACGGUCAGGGACGAAGCCUAGGGGCACGAACCGGAUUAGAUACCCGGGUAGUCCUAGGUGUAAACGCUGUGAACUUGGUGUCGGGGAUCCGUCAUGGGUCCCCGGUGCCGGAGUGAAGAUGUUAAGUUCACUGCCUGGGGAGUACGGUCGCAAGGCUGAAACUUAAAGGAAUUGGCGGGGGAGCACUGCAACGGGAGGAGCGUGCGGUUUAAUUGGAUCAACGCCGGA
Molecule: ribosomal RNA, 912 nt
Filed under: uncultured archaeon
Lineage: Archaea
Description: bacterial SSU rRNA
Rfam family: Archaeal small subunit ribosomal RNA
Source: RNAcentral